CAGCAGCCGCGAGAAUACGGAGGGUGCAAGCGUUAAUCGGAAUUACUGGGCGUAAAGCGCACGCAGGCGGUCUGACAAGUCAGAUGUGAAAUCCCCGGGCUUAACCUGGGAACUGCAUUUGAAACUGUCAGGCUGGAGUCUUGUAGAGGGGGGUGGAAUUCCAGGUGUAGCGGUGAAAUGCGUAGAGAUCUGGAGGAAUACCGGUGGCGAAGGCGGCCCCCUGGACAAAGACUGACGCUCAGGUGCGAAAGCGUGGGGAGCAAACAGGAUUAGAUACCCGUGUAGUCCCUGUCUCUUAUAC
RNAcentral lists this ribosomal RNA (301 nucleotides) under uncultured bacterium. RNAcentral describes it as "partial 16S ribosomal RNA". It matches the Rfam family "Bacterial small subunit ribosomal RNA", at positions 509 to 807 of the family's 1533-position model. The record is from RNAcentral.